RNAcentral lists this unclassified non-coding RNA (483 nucleotides) under Hevea brasiliensis (rubber tree). Lineage: Eukaryota; Viridiplantae; Streptophyta; Magnoliopsida; Malpighiales; Euphorbiaceae. The record is from RNAcentral.
AUCCGAGCUCAAAUUACUGAGUAUAUUCUUGCAUUCUAUUUUAACUAAAUAGGUUAAAAUAUCACACUUUUUAUAACUGAUGUCAAUGGUCCAUCAUUAAUAUAUUAUGUAUGAUACUUGAAUUAAUAACCAUAUUUACAUUUUUAUGCAAGGACAGACUACAUACAAAUAAAACUCUAAUACUGACUUCAUUACAUUUUUUAUAACAAAAAGUAAAGAAAUACCAAAUAGCAUACAUUUUUAGAAAAUAGGGUUAAUGAACAAAAAAAUUCCAAAUUUUUGCUCAAAUAUGCAAUUAUGACCAAUCUUUUAAUUUUAUCAACUUUCAUUUCUAAUUAGUGUUGUAGCCAGGUUUGAAAAAGCGUGUAUUCAAACUCUCAAAUUACUAAAAUGGCAAAUAUUUUAUUAAAAAAUCUUUUCAAGUAAUCAUAUGAUGUGAUAUAUUUGAAUGUUAGACCUUGAAAAGAAUUAUUAGUAAUUAAG